Molecule: non-coding RNA, 21 nt
Organism: Caenorhabditis elegans
Lineage: Eukaryota; Metazoa; Nematoda; Chromadorea; Rhabditida; Rhabditidae
Source: Ensembl
UUUCAAUCUAGUUGCUGUUAA